This 330-nucleotide unclassified non-coding RNA is filed under the name Zea mays. RNAcentral describes it as "misc RNA Zm00001eb019270". The record is from RNAcentral. Lineage: Eukaryota; Viridiplantae; Streptophyta; Magnoliopsida; Poales; Poaceae.
GCAAUCCCUGACUUCUGAUGAACCAGGCUGUACAAUACUCAGCCAGGCAACCAAAUGUACCCACAAUAACAAUAUUGCUGUCUAAUUCCUCUUCUGGUGUUCGGAUUAAUAAUUUGUACAAAUUCAGAAGAAAACAGCAAUCGAAUUAUCAAUUAUGCAAGUACAGUAGGCAUAAUAACUGUUUAACUUUGCAUAAUUUGUUGGAUAGCGAGGUUAUCUGGUUUGCAUCCAUGAAAAAAAAUGUAAAUGCUCGACCUGCAGGGGUUAAGACAGUCCCCGAGUGCUGUAUUAAGAAGACCUUCUCACGAGCACAGGUAAAAAAACCCAAAC